Molecule: long non-coding RNA, 437 nt
Organism: Mustela erminea (ermine)
Lineage: Eukaryota; Metazoa; Chordata; Mammalia; Carnivora; Mustelidae
Exons: 3
Source: RefSeq, a predicted model, not a curated record
GGGGGUGAGAGCUGAGGGCAUUCAUGUUGCGCCCUGUGUGGGUGUAUAACUGGGUGAGAUGUGUGCUGAGUCGUCAGCAUGACUGCAAGCCUGGCUAGCUCCAAGGAGACAAAUACUCAAAUGGGAGUGCUAAAUUAUGCCUGACACCUCAAUGAAGACUUCAGGUGCACUCCCCCAACUGCAAUAAGCCUAAUGUGAAAGAAGAGAGUUGGGAAUGACAAAGGAAAGCAGACUGUCCAGAAGCUGCAAAGUGGACUGUUGUUACUCCUCAACAGAGGUUUCUGUGGAGAGGCUGAACAAUGGGUACAGAAGCGGAAUGUCUGUCUCCACCCUUCAGCAAAGGGUGUUCCAGUAGCCAACUGCUGGUGAUUAACUUGUCAGACUUGGCGAUAAAGGCCACAGAGAUGAUAUGGCAGAAGAGAAAUAAAAACAACUUC